GAUGAACGCUGGCGGCGUGCCUAAUACAUGCAAGUCGAGCGAACGGACGAGAAGCUUGCUUCUCUGAUGUUAGCGGCGGACGGGUGAGUAACACGUGGAUAACCUCCCUAUAAGACUGGGAUAACUUCGGGAAACCGGAGCUAAUACCGGAUAAUAUUUUGAACCGCAUGGUUCAAAAGUGAAAGACGGUCUUGCUGUCACUUAUAGAUGGAUCCGCGCUGCAUUAGCUAGUUGGUAAGUUAACGGCUUACCAAGGCAACGAUGCAUAGCCGACCGCAGAGGGGGAUCGGCCACACUGGAACUGGGACACGGACCAGACUCCUACGGGAGGCAGCAGUAGGGAACCUUCCGCAAUGGGCGGAAGCCUGACGGAGCAACGGCGCGUGAGAGAUGAAGGUCUUGGGAUCGGAAAACUCUGUUAUGAGUGAAGAACAUAUGUGUAAGUAACUGUGCACAUCUUGACGGUACUUAAUCAGAAAGCCACGGCUAACUACGUG
This 497-nucleotide ribosomal RNA is filed under the name uncultured bacterium. Its description in RNAcentral is "partial 16S ribosomal RNA". It matches the Rfam family "Bacterial small subunit ribosomal RNA", at positions 28 to 507 of the family's 1533-position model. The record is from RNAcentral.